This is a non-coding RNA of Sus scrofa (pig), 14124 nucleotides long. NCBI's taxonomy places the organism in Eukaryota, Metazoa, Chordata, Mammalia, Artiodactyla, Suidae. The record is from RefSeq and is a predicted model, not a curated record.
UUUGUAAGGUUGAUAUCAGAGAACGUUUUGCCUGUGUUCUCUUCUAGAAGUUUAAUGGUAUCUUGUCCUACAUUUAAGCCAUUGAGUCUUUAAGCAAGACUUCAUUGAAUUUAUUUUUGUGCAUAGUGUGAGGGUGUGUUCCAGUUUUGUUGAUGUACAUGCAGCUGUCCAGUUUUACCAGCACCACUUGCUGAAAAGACUGUCUUUUCCCCAUUUUAUGUUCUUGCCUCUUUUGUAAAAGAUUAAUGGAUAUCUGGGUAAGUUGUAAAUUUCUGAAUGGGAAAAUGAAAUGUAGAAUGCAAGAGUCAAUGACAGUAAAUUUUCUCUUCUUUUUAUUCUAAAUUCUUAAAAAAAUGGGUAAAUGAAACAUAGCAUACAAGAAUCAAAGGUGAUAAAUUUUCUUUAUCUUUUUAAACAUCAACUGUGCUUUAUGUUGUUGAAAAUGGACACAUUGGAACAGAUGAAGGAUGAUUCCAUGGUGAUGGACCUUGUGAUUGCAUAUCUGUGUUACAAGCACAAGGAACAAUGUGAAUAUCAGUUAGGUUUCUUGUCUGGGUUUAAGUGAUUACUAUUCAUCUAUGCAGAAAUCAGUGUGUUGUUUAAAAAUUCCGUAGAGAAUAACAGAAUGCUAGAUUUAUUUCAGUGCUAAAUAUUGAAUUUUAGGAAACACUAAUUACUUACACUAUAGAAGAAAAACACCAUCUAGUUGAAAAAGAGAUAUCUCACUGUGAGAAUGACCUAUUUACAUAAUAGGGAGGUUAUGACUUCUUGAGUUUGGGGGAAAAUAGAGCUAGAAAAUUAUUAUUAGCAAUUUACUGAGUUAGUCAACAAACAAACAGAAAUGGCCCCAGAGAACCACUGCAUUUUUUUAAUUGAGUCAACAAAGAAAUUAGAGUGUUAAGUAGGAAAGGGGGACAGUAUUGGAUCGAUGAUGACUACUGGUGGCGUAUGAGUCGUGUACGAUGAAUACGUGUCUGGAACGCUGAGGUCCAGUGUCCUCUGUGCCGUGACCCCGCGGGCGAGGCCAGGCAUCCAGGGGGGCCGUCCGUGUGUCCUCUGGGGGGCCCUCCUGGUGCUUGCGUUUGCCCAGUGGGCCAGUGGGAGCCCCUGUGGACCAGCCUGCCAGAACUGAAGGAGGAGAGCGAGGGAGGGCCGGCAUUCCCAAGGUGCCAGGUCCCUGGUGACCCCACCCCCCAUGGUCUGCCUCUUGCCAUGCCAUGGGCUGCAGGUUGGCCAGAGGUCUUGGGCUGAUGUCCCCGAGGCUGAGGCCGUGGGGCAAGGGUGAGGUAGGCAGGGUCAGGGAGGGCCCACCUCUGUCCCGGGGCUGGGCGGCCAGCUGGUGGUUGGUGGGUGUCCCGAGACAGGGCUGUGCCCUGCCAGCAGGGUUGCCCCGAUGGAGGCGUGCAUGUGGAAGCCGCGAGCCUGGAGAAUGGCUGUGCCAUUGGGUCUCCUGCUCUUGGCUUUGUACUCUUCAGCAGGCAGCCGCCAGGCCCGAAGGCCGGCUCCUUCCUGGAUGAGCAGGCGAGGAUGGCAGCGUUGUCUUUGGAGCCAGGGGACCAGUGGUGGAAGCCGAAGGCCAGGCCAGGCUGCGUGGGGCCGAGACCCCUCCUCUGGCGGUGGUGGCAGGAGAGAUCCCAAGGUGAGGCAUGGCCUCGGGCUGUCUUGGUUUGGGUCAUCGGGGCCAGUGUUUUCCAUGUCUUUAAAAUGUCCUAUGUAGAAUCCCCAGGUGACUAAUCGUCCUUUGAGAACUAAGGCAUGAACCUUUAUGCUGGUUAAUUGACAAUAGGGAUUUCACCAAAGGAAGAUACAAUCUCUUUUGGUACUACUUAGAUCAUCAGGGAUAUUCAAGUGUCUUGUACUCUGAUUUUCGUUAAUCAAGUACUUCUUGUUAUGAAGGAAACAUUAAAUUGAUCCCAAAACAUGAACAUGGGAAGUGACAUUGGCCUAAUGUACCCGUGAUGAUUAGAACAUGGGUCAGGUCCCAGUGGUGAGUCAUGAAUGACGCAUGAUAAGGGUCUGAAGCCCUGUGGCCCCACACAGUCCAUCCUCUUUGGCUCUGUUUAGGCCAUCCUGUGGACAGGUGUUAGGAACACAGAAAGUUCGGGUUCUUACAGCGUAUACGUUUUCAAAGUAUUCAUACAGCAAGGAGAACACCAUGAAAGUUAUAGAUAAUAGUUGAAGAGCAUAUGUUGUUGUCUAAUUAUGAGCAAAUAUGUUGAAGAAAGAAAUAUUAAUCAAAAUUGCCAACAGCAGCGCUCCUUAUGAGAUAAGUCAGUCAAACGGUCACCUUUGUGGCCAAUUAUCAGAGAGACUUGAAGAGUUGUAAGUGUUAGAAAUUUCCUGUAUUGUUGUGAGUCAGUUUCAAGUUUGAGGUAGUUCUUUCAGUCAAGAGACAAAACAGUCUCUAAAGCAUGGCUAUGCUUUACAUUGUUAAGUAACAGGGCAGAUGAAAUGUAGAGGCAAGACGCGACGGUGAUCCCUUUUCUUUUCUUUCUCUUUUUCAUCAUUGGCUGUGCUUUGUGCUGUCAAACGUGCUCACGCUGGAGCGGAUUGAGCGUGAUCCCACGGUGACGUCCCAGGUCUUCUUGGGUGUUGAGAAUGAUUGAGUGUCUGAAUGACUGUGUGGGAAUUGCUGAAUCCGUCAAUGAAGUAAUACACGUGAAGGAGGCACAGAGACCCCGUCACGGACCAGUGAUGAGGCGCGUGACGGGAAGAGUCCUGAAGGAAGAAAGCAUCUCUGAAACUCUGAGGAUGAAGGCGUUAGAGAUGGUUGAACAUCUGCCACGGGCACGGGCUCGGUGGUUGCCUCUAUAUAGUAGAAUGGAGAUUAAUGUGAGUAACGGCUGAGUUUCUUUGCUUGGACUUUUUCGAUUCGAGUGAUUACUGUACUAUUAAGAAAUGUGGGGGAGUUUCCUGACAGCGGUGGGUUAAGGAUCCGGCUUUCCCUGGGUCGGUGCUGUGGUGUGGGUUUGAUGACGGGCGUGGGAACUUUCUUGUGCCACAGUCCCGGGGAAGAAAAUAAGUAAAUCCGGGUACGGAAUCCAAAAGAAAUGCAGAAUCUAAGUAGCGGAGGCAGCGGCAUCUGAGUGUUGAGUAUGGAGUAUAGACCAUGAUAUAGAUUAAGGCACCUAUAGCGAAAGAGAGCGUUGGUCUGAGAUGUGUUAGGGGAAGAAUGAUUCGAGGUGCUUGUUUAGUAUGUUGUUUGUAAAAGGUACUUCUAAAAUGAUUCCUCACUUUUUGAUUUGAUUAAUUUAUUUUGGUCCUUGUGUGGAAAACAGAAGUUUCCAGGCCAAGGAUCCAAUCCCGGCCACAGUAGUGACAAGGCUGAUCCUUAAGUGCUCGGCCCCAGAGAACCACUGCAUGUUUUCAAUUGAGUCGACAAAGAAAUUAGAGUGUUAAGUAGGAAAGGGGGACAGUAUUGGAUCGAUGAUGACUACUGGUGGCGUAUGAGUCGUGUACGAUGAAUACGUGUCUGGAACGCUGAGGUCCAAUGUCCUCCGUGCCGUGACCCUCGCGGGCGAGGCCAGGCAUCCAGGGGGGCCGUCCGUGUGUCCUCUGGGGGGCCUUCCUGGUGCUUGCGUUCGCCCAGUGGGCCAGUGGGAGCCCCUGUGGACCAGCCUGCCAGAACUGAAGGAGGAGAGCGAGGGAGGGCCGGCAUUCCCAAGGCGCCAGGUCCCUGGUGACCCCACCCCCCAUGGUCUGCCUCUUGCCAUGCCAUGGGCUGCAGGUUGGCCAGAGGUCUUGGGCUGAUGUCCCCGAGGCUGAGGCCGUGGGGCAAGGGUGAGGUAGGCAGGGUCAGGGAGGGCCCACCUCUGUCCCGGGGCUGGGCGGCCAGCUGGUGGUUGGUGGGUGUCCCGAGACAGGGCUGUGCCCUGCCAGCAGGGUUGCCCCGAUGGAGGCGUGCAUGUGGAAGCCGCGAGCCUGGAGAAUGGCUGUGCCAUUGGGUCUCCUGCUCUUGGCUUUGUACUCUUCAGCAGGCAACCGCCAGGCCCGAAGGCCGGCUCCUUCCUGGAUGAGCAGGCGAGGAUGGCAGCGUUGUCUUUGGAGCCAGGGGACCAGUGGUGGAAGCCGAAGGCCAGGCCAGGCUGCGUGGGGCCGAGACCCCUCCUCUGGCGGAGGUGGCAGGAGAGAUCCCAAGGUGAGGCAUGGCCUCGGGCUGUCUUGGUUUGGGUCAUCGGGGCCAGUGUUUUCCAUGUCUUUAAAAUGUCCUAUGUAGAAUCCCCAGGUGACUAAUCGUCCCUUGAGAACUAAGGCAUGAACCUUUAUGCUGGUUAAUUGACAAUAGGGAUUUCACCAAAGGAAGAUACAAUCUCUUUUGGUACUACUUAGAUCAUCAGGGAUAUUCAAGUGUCUUGUACUCUGAUUUUCGUUAAUCAAGUACUUCUUGUUAUGAAGGAAACAUUAAAUUGAUCCCAAAACAUGAACAUGGGAAGUGACAUUGGCCUAAUGUACCCGUGAUGAUUAGAACAUGGGUCAGGUCCAGUGGUGAGUCAUGAAUGACGCAUGAUAAGGGUCUGAAGCCCUGUGGCCCCACACAGUCCAUCCUCUUUGGCUCUGUUUAGGCCAUCCUGUGGACAGGUGUUAGGAACACAGAAAGUUCGGGUUCUUACAGCGUAUACGUUUUCAAAGUAUUCAUACAGCAAGGAGAACACCAUGAAAGUUAUAGGUAAUAGUUGAAGAGCAUAUGUUGUUGUCUAAUUAUGAGCAAAUAUGUUGAAGAAAGAAAUAUUAAUCAAAAUUGCCAACAGCAGCGCUCCUUAUGAGAUAAGUCAGUCAAACGGUCACCUUUGUGGCCAAUUAUCAGAGAGACUUGAAGAGUUGUAAGUGUUAGAAAUUUCCUGUAUUGUUGUGAGUCAGUUUCAAGUUUGAGGUAGUUCUUUCAGUCAAGAGACAAAACAGUCUCUAAAGCAUGGCUAUGCUUUACAUUGUUAAGUAACAGGGCAGAUGAAAUGUAGAGGCAAGACGCGACGGUGAUCCCUUUUCUUUUCUUUCUCUUUUUCAUCAUUGGCUGUGCUUUGUGCUGUCAAACGUGCUCACGCUGGAGCGGAUUGAGCGUGAUCCCACGGUGACGUCCCAGGUCUUCUUGGGUGUUGAGAAUGAUUGAGUGUCUGAAUGACUGUGUGGGAAUUGCUGAAUCCGUCAAUGAAGUAAUACACGUGAAGGAGGCACAGAGACCCCGUCACGGACCAGUGAUGAGGCGCGUGACGGGAAGAGUCCUGAAGGAAGAAAGCAUCUCUGAAACUCUGAGGAUGAAGGCGUUAGAGAUGGUUGAACAUCUGCCACGGGCACGGGCUCGGUGGUUGCCUCUAUAUAGUAGAAUGGAGAUUAAUCAGGCAGCCGCCAGGCCCGAAGGCCGGCUCCUUCCUGGAUGAGCAGGCGAGGAUGGCAGCGUUGUCUUUGGAGCCAGGGGACCAGUGGUGGAAGCCGAAGGCCAGGCCAGGCUGCGUGGGGCCGAGACCCCUCCUCUGGCGGUGGUGGCAGGAGAGAUCCCAAGGUGAGGCAUGGCCUCGGGCUGUCUUGGUUUGGGUCAUCGGGGCCAGUGUUUUCCAUGUCUUUAAAAUGUCCUAUGUAGAAUCCCCAGGUGACUAAUCGUCCCUUGAGAACUAAGGCAUGAACCUUUAUGCUGGUUAAUUGACAAUAGGGAUUUCACCAAAGGAAGAUACAAUCUCUUUUGGUACUACUUAGAUCAUCAGGGAUAUUCAAGUGUCUUGUACUCUGAUUUUCGUUAAUCAAGUACUUCUUGUUAUGAAGGAAACAUUAAAUUGAUCCCAAAACAUGAACAUGGGAAGUGACAUUGGCCUAAUGUACCCGUGAUGAUUAGAACAUGGGUCAGGUCCCAGUGGUGAGUCAUGAAUGACGCAUGAUAAGGGUCUGAAGCCCUGUGGCCCCACACAGUCCAUCCUCUUUGGCUCUGUUUAGGCCAUCCUGUGGACAGGUGUUAGGAACACAGAAAGUUCGGGUUCUUACAGCGUAUACGUUUUCAAAGUAUUCAUACAGCAAGGAGAACACCAUGAAAGUUAUAGGUAAUAGUUGAAGAGCAUAUGUUGUUGUCUAAUUAUGAGCAAAUAUGUUGAAGAAAGAAAUAUUAAUCAAAAUUGCCAACAGCAGCGCUCCUUAUGAGAUAAGUCAGUCAAACGGUCACCUUUGUGGCCAAUUAUCAGAGAGACUUGAAGAGUUGUAAGUGUUAGAAAUUUCCUGUAUUGUUGUGAGUCAGUUUCAAGUUUGAGGUAGUUCUUUCAGUCAAGAGACAAAACAGUCUCUAAAGCAUGGCUAUGCUUUACAUUGUUAAGUAACAGGGCAGAUGAAAUGUAGAGGCAAGACGCGACGGUGAUCCCUUUUCUUUUCUUUCUCUUUUUCAUCAUUGGCUGUGCUUUGUGCUGUCAAACGUGCUCACGCUGGAGCGGAUUGAGCGUGAUCCCACGGUGACGUCCAGGUCUUCUUGGGUGUUGUGAAUGAUUGAGUGUCUGAAUGACUGUGUGGGAAUUGCUGAAUCCGUCAAUGAAGUAAUACACGUGAAGGAGGCACAGAGACCCCGUCACGGACCAGUGAUGAGGCGCGUGACGGGAAGAGUCCUGAAGGAAGAAAGCAUCUCUGAAACUCUGAGGAUGAAGGCGUUAGAGAUGGUUGAACAUCUGCCACGGGCACGGGCUCGGUGGUUGCCUCUAUAUAGUAGAAUGGAGAUUAAUCAGGCAGCCGCCAGGCCCGAAGGCCGGCUCCUUCCUGGAUGAGCAGGCGAGGAUGGCAGCGUUGUCUUUGGAGCCAGGGGACCAGUGGUGGAAGCCGAAGGCCAGGCCAGGCUGCGUGGGGCCGAGACCCCUCCUCUGGCGGAGGUGGCAGGAGAGAUCCCAAGGUGAGGCAUGGCCUCGGGCUGUCUUGGUUUGGGUCAUCGGGGCCAGUGUUUUCCAUGUCUUUAAAAUGUCCUAUGUAGAAUCCCCAGGUGACUAAUCGUCCCUUGAGAACUAAGGCAUGAACCUUUAUGCUGGUUAAUUGACAAUAGGGAUUUCACCAAAGGAAGAUACAAUCUCUUUUGGUACUACUUAGAUCAUCAGGGAUAUUCAAGUGUCUUGUACUCUGAUUUUCGUUAAUCAAGUACUUCUUGUUAUGAAGGAAACAUUAAAUUGAUCCCAAAACAUGAACAUGGGAAGUGACAUUGGCCUAAUGUACCCGUGAUGAUUAGAACAUGGGUCAGGUGCCAGUGGUGAGUCAUGAAUGACGCAUGAUAAGGGUCUGAAGCCCUGUGGCCCCACACAGUCCAUCCUCUUUGGCUCUGUUUAGGCCAUCCUGUGGACAGGUGUUAGGAACACAGAAAGUUCGGGUUCUUACAGCGUAUACGUUUUCAAAGUAUUCAUACAGCAAGGAGAACACCAUGAAAGUUAUAGGUAAUAGUUGAAGAGCAUAUGUUGUUGUCUAAUUAUGAGCAAAUAUGUUGAAGAAAGAAAUAUUAAUCAAAAUUGCCAACAGCAGCGCUCCUUAUGAGAUAAGUCAGUCAAACGGUCACCUUUGUGGCCAAUUAUCAGAGAGACUUGAAGAGUUGUAAGUGUUAGAAAUUUCCUGUAUUGUUGUGAGUCAGUUUCAAGUUUGAGGUAGUUCUUUCAGUCAAGAGACAAAACAGUCUCUAAAGCAUGGCUAUGCUUUACAUUGUUAAGUAACAGGGCAGAUGAAAUGUAGAGGCAAGACGCGACGGUGAUCCCUUUUCUUUUCUUUCUCUUUUUCAUCAUUGGCUGUGCUUUGUGCUGUCAAACGUGCUCACGCUGGAGCGGAUUGAGCGUGAUCCCACGGUGACGUCCCAGGUCUUCUUGGGUGUUGUGAAUGAUUGAGUGUCUGAAUGACUGUGUGGGAAUUGCUGAAUCCGUCAAUGAAGUAAUACACGUGAAGGAGGCACAGAGACCCCGUCACGGACCAGUGAUGAGGCGCGUGACGGGAAGAGUCCUGAAGGAAGAAAGCAUCUCUGAAACUCUGAGGAUGAAGGCGUUAGAGAUGGUUGAACAUCUGCCACGGGCACGGGCUCGGUGGUUGCCUCUAUAUAGUAGAAUGGAGAUUAAUCAGGCAGCCGCCAGGCCCGAAGGCCGGCUCCUUCCUGGAUGAGCAGGCGAGGAUGGCAGCGUUGUCUUUGGAGCCAGGGGACCAGUGGUGGAAGCCGAAGGCCAGGCCAGGCUGCGUGGGGCCGAGACCCCUCCUCUGGCGGUGGUGGCAGGAGAGAUCCCAAGGUGAGGCAUGGCCUCGGGCUGUCUUGGUUUGGGUCAUCGGGGCCAGUGUUUUCCAUGUCUUUAAAAUGUCCUAUGUAGAAUCCCCAGGUGACUAAUCGUCCCUUGAGAACUAAGGCAUGAACCUUUAUGCUGGUUAAUUGACAAUAGGGAUUUCACCAAAGGAAGAUACAAUCUCUUUUGGUACUACUUAGAUCAUCAGGGAUAUUCAAGUGUCUUGUACUCUGAUUUUCGUUAAUCAAGUACUUCUUGUUAUGAAGGAAACAUUAAAUUGAUCCCAAAACAUGAACAUGGGAAGUGACAUUGGCCUAAUGUACCCGUGAUGAUUAGAACAUGGGUCAGGUGCCAGUGGUGAGUCAUGAAUGACGCAUGAUAAGGGUCUGAAGCCCUGUGGCCCCACACAGUCCAUCCUCUUUGGCUCUGUUUAGGCCAUCCUGUGGACAGGUGUUAGGAACACAGAAAGUUCGGGUUCUUACAGCGUAUACGUUUUCAAAGUAUUCAUACAGCAAGGAGAACACCAUGAAAGUUAUAGGUAAUAGUUGAAGAGCAUAUGUUGUUGUCUAAUUAUGAGCAAAUAUGUUGAAGAAAGAAAUAUUAAUCAAAAUUGCCAACAGCAGCGCUCCUUAUGAGAUAAGUCAGUCAAACGGUCACCUUUGUGGCCAAUUAUCAGAGAGACUUGAAGAGUUGUAAGUGUUAGAAAUUUCCUGUAUUGUUGUGAGUCAGUUUCAAGUUUGAGGUAGUUCUUUCAGUCAAGAGACAAAACAGUCUCUAAAGCAUGGCUAUGCUUUACAUUGUUAAGUAACAGGGCAGAUGAAAUGUAGAGGCAAGACGCGACGGUGAUCCCUUUUCUUUUCUUUCUCUUUUUCAUCAUUGGCUGUGCUUUGUGCUGUCAAACGUGCUCACGCUGGAGCGGAUUGAGCGUGAUCCCACGGUGACGUCACACGUCUUCUUGGGUGUUGUGAAUGAUUGAGUGUCUGAAUGACUGUGUGGGAAUUGCUGAAUCCGUCAAUGAAGUAAUACACGUGAAGGAGGCACAGAGACCCCGUCACGGACCAGUGAUGAGGCGCGUGACGGGAAGAGUCCUGAAGGAAGAAAGCAUCUCUGAAACUCUGAGGAUGAAGGCGUUAGAGAUGGUUGAACAUCUGCCACGGGCACGGGCUCGGUGGUUGCCUCUAUAUAGUAGAAUGGAGAUUAAUGUGAGUAACGGCUGAGUUUCUUUGCUUGGACUUUUUCGAUUCGAGUGAUUACUGUACUAUUAAGAAAUGUGGGGGAGUUUCCUGACAGCGGUGGGUUAAGGAUCCGGCUUUCCCUGGGUCGGUGCUGUGGUGUGGGUUUGAUGACGGGCGUGGGAACUUUCUUGUGCCACAGUCCCGGGGAAGAAAAUAAGUAAAUCCGGGUACGGAAUCCAAAAGAAAUGCAGAAUCUAAGUAGCGGAGGCAGCGGCAUCUGAGUGUUGAGUAUGGAGUAUAGACCAUGAUAUAGAUUAAGGCACCUAUAGCGAAAGAGAGCGUUGGUCUGAGAUGUGUUAGGGGAAGAAUGAUUCGAGGUGCUUGUUUAGUAUGUUGUUUGUAAAAGGUACUUCUAAAAUGAUUCCUCACUUUUUGAUUUGAUUAAUUUAUUUUGGUCCUUGUGUGGAAAACAGAAGUUUCCAGGCCAAGGAUCCAAUCCCGGCCACAGUAGUGACAAGGCUGAUCCUUAAGUGCUCGGCCCCAGAGAACCACUGCAUGUUUUCAAUUGAGUCGACAAAGAAAUUAGAGUGUUAAGUAGGAAAGGGGGACAGUAUUGGAUCGAUGAUGACUACUGGUGGCGUAUGAGUCGUGUACGAUGAAUACGUGUCUGGAACGCUGAGGUCCAAUGUCCUCCGUGCCGUGACCCUCGCGGGCGAGGCCAGGCAUCCAGGGGGGCCGUCCGUGUGUCCUCUGGGGGGCCUUCCUGGUGCUUGCGUUCGCCCAGUGGGCCAGUGGGAGCCCCUGUGGACCAGCCUGCCAGAACUGAAGGAGGAGAGCGAGGGAGGGCCGGCAUUCCCAAGGCGCCAGGUCCCUGGUGACCCCACCCCCCAUGGUCUGCCUCUUGCCAUGCCAUGGGCUGCAGGUUGGCCAGAGGUCUUGGGCUGAUGUCCCCGAGGCUGAGGCCGUGGGGCAAGGGUGAGGUAGGCAGGGUCAGGGAGGGCCCACCUCUGUCCCGGGGCUGGGCGGCCAGCUGGUGGUUGGUGGGUGUCCCGAGACAGGGCUGUGCCCUGCCAGCAGGGUUGCCCCGAUGGAGGCGUGCAUGUGGAAGCCGCGAGCCUGGAGAAUGGCUGUGCCAUUGGGUCUCCUGCUCUUGGCUUUGUACUCUUCAGCAGGCAGCCGCCAGGCCCGAAGGCCGGCUCCUUCCUGGAUGAGCAGGCGAGGAUGGCAGCGUUGUCUUUGGAGCCAGGGGACCAGUGUGAGCAGCAUCCCAGGGCUUGUCGGGGCUGGGCUGGGCAGGGCAGUGCGAGGGGCUGGUGGAGGGUGGGCGGCAGAUGCGGGCGAGGCCAGCAGUCCAGAAGGGCUCUGGCGUCCCAGGGAUGGGACAGCUCUGGCUAGGAAGGUCUCUUGGACGUCCUGCACAGGGGCCCAGCUGGUCCUCCGCGGCCCAGAGAGACCGAAAGCCAGGGGACGGGUCCUAGAGGCUCCCCGAGGGAUGGCGAGGCCUCGUUGGGUGGGGCGGGCCCCUUGGGUUGCCCAGUGGCCGUGCGGGGAGGAAUGCCUGACUCCACGGGCCAUGGCGAAGGAAGAGAAGGUCCCCCUUUUCUGGAUCGAUGAUGAUCAAUGCCAGCGUAUGAGGCAUCGAUGACGAAUAAUGUGUGUCUGGAACUCUGAGGUCCACUCGCAAGGAAACGGGGCCUUUCUCUUCCUGCCUUUCCAUCCUCGAGCCCAACGGGGCAGCGCCGACCGCCCGAGGAGCCCAGUCGAUGGCGUCUCACUGUGGGUGUCACCUUGUCUCUUGGGUCUCCCUUAUAGGGUGGAAGCCGAAGGCCAGGCCAGGCUGCGUGGGGCCGAGACCCCUCCUCUGGCGGAGGUGGCAGGAGAGAUCCCAAGGUGAGGCAUGGCCUCGGGCUGUCUUGGUUUGGGUCAUCGGGGCCAGUGUUUUCCAUGUCUUUAAAAUGUCCUAUGUAGAAUCCCCAGGUGACUAAUCGUCCCUUGAGAACUAAGGCAUGAACCUUUAUGCUGGUUAAUUGACAAUAGGGAUUUCACCAAAGGAAGAUACAAUCUCUUUUGGUACUACUUAGAUCAUCAGGGAUAUUCAAGUGUCUUGUACUCUGAUUUUCGUUAAUCAAGUACUUCUUGUUAUGAAGGAAACAUUAAAUUGAUCCCAAAACAUGAACAUGGGAAGUGACAUUGGCCUAAUGUACCCGUGAUGAUUAGAACAUGGGUCAGGUCCAGUGGUGAGUCAUGAAUGACGCAUGAUAAGGGUCUGAAGCCCUGUGGCCCCACACAGUCCAUCCUCUUUGGCUCUGUUUAGGCCAUCCUGUGGACAGGUGUUAGGAACACAGAAAGUUCGGGUUCUUACAGCGUAUACGUUUUCAAAGUAUUCAUACAGCAAGGAGAACACCAUGAAAGUUAUAGGUAAUAGUUGAAGAGCAUAUGUUGUUGUCUAAUUAUGAGCAAAUAUGUUGAAGAAAGAAAUAUUAAUCAAAAUUGCCAACAGCAGCGCUCCUUAUGAGAUAAGUCAGUCAAACGGUCACCUUUGUGGCCAAUUAUCAGAGAGACUUGAAGAGUUGUAAGUGUUAGAAAUUUCCUGUAUUGUUGUGAGUCAGUUUCAAGUUUGAGGUAGUUCUUUCAGUCAAGAGACAAAACAGUCUCUAAAGCAUGGCUAUGCUUUACAUUGUUAAGUAACAGGGCAGAUGAAAUGUAGAGGCAAGACGCGACGGUGAUCCCUUUUCUUUUCUUUCUCUUUUUCAUCAUUGGCUGUGCUUUGUGCUGUCAAACGUGCUCACGCUGGAGCGGAUUGAGCGUGAUCCCACGGUGACGUCACACGUCUUCUUGGGUGUUGUGAAUGAUUGAGUGUCUGAAUGACUGUGUGGGAAUUGCUGAAUCCGUCAAUGAAGUAAUACACGUGAAGGAGGCACAGAGACCCCGUCACGGACCAGUGAUGAGGCGCGUGACGGGAAGAGUCCUGAAGGAAGAAAGCAUCUCUGAAACUCUGAGGAUGAAGGCGUUAGAGAUGGUUGAACAUCUGCCACGGGCACGGGCUCGGUGGUUGCCUCUAUAUAGUAGAAUGGAGAUUAAUGUGAGUAACGGCUGAGUUUCUUUGCUUGGACUUUUUCGAUUCGAGUGAUUACUGUACUAUUAAGAAAUGUGGGGGAGUUUCCUGACAGCGGUGGGUUAAGGAUCCGGCUUUCCCUGGGUCGGUGCUGUGGUGUGGGUUUGAUGACGGGCGUGGGAACUUUCUUGUGCCACAGUCCCGGGGAAGAAAAUAAGUAAAUCCGGGUACGGAAUCCAAAAGAAAUGCAGAAUCUAAGUAGCGGAGGCAGCGGCAUCUGAGUGUUGAGUAUGGAGUAUAGACCAUGAUAUAGAUUAAGGCACCUAUAGCGAAAGAGAGCGUUGGUCUGAGAUGUGUUAGGGGAAGAAUGAUUCGAGGUGCUUGUUUAGUAUGUUGUUUGUAAAAGGUACUUCUAAAAUGAUUCCUCACUUUUUGAUUUGAUUAAUUUAUUUUGGUCCUUGUGUGGAAAACAGAAGUUUCCAGGCCAAGGAUCCAAUCCCGCCACAGUAGUGACAAGGCUGAUCCUUAAGUGCUCGGCCCCAGAGAACCACUGCAUGUUUUCAAUUGAGUCGACAAAGAAAUUAGAGUGUUAAGUAGGAAAGGGGGACAGUAUUGGAUCGAUGAUGACUACUGGUGGCGUAUGAGUCGUGUACGAUGAAUACGUGUCUGGAACGCUGAGGUCCAAUGUCCUCCGUGCCGUGACCCUCGCGGGCGAGGCCAGGCAUCCAGGGGGGCCGUCCGUGUGUCCUCUGGGGGGCCUUCCUGGUGCUUGCGUUCGCCCAGUGGGCCAGUGGGAGCCCCUGUGGACCAGCCUGCCAGAACUGAAGGAGGAGAGCGAGGGAGGGCCGGCAUUCCCAAGGCGCCAGGUCCCUGGUGACCCCACCCCCCAUGGUCUGCCUCUUGCCAUGCCAUGGGCUGCAGGUUGGCCAGAGGUCUUGGGCUGAUGUCCCCGAGGCUGAGGCCGUGGGGCAAGGGUGAGGUAGGCGGGUCAGGGAGGGCCCACCUCUGUCCCGGGGCUGGGCGGCCAGCUGGUGGUUGGUGGGUGUCCCGAGACAGGGCUGUGCCCUGCCAGCAGGGUUGCCCCGAUGGAGGCGUGCAUGUGGAAGCCGCGAGCCUGGAGAAUGGCUGUGCCAUUGGGUCUCCUGCUCUUGGCUUUGUACUCUUCAGCAGGCAGCCGCCAGGCCCGAAGGCCGGCUCCUUCCUGGAUGAGCAGGCGAGGAUGGCAGCGUUGUCUUUGGAGCCAGGGGACCAGUGGUGGAAGCCGAAGGCCAGGCCAGGCUGCGUGGGGCCGAGACCCCUCCUCUGGCGGUGGUGGCAGGAGAGAUCCCAAGGUGAGGCAUGGCCUCGGGCUGUCUUGGUUUGGGUCAUCGGGGCCAGUGUUUUCCAUGUCUUUAAAAUGUCCUAUGUAGAAUCCCAGGUGACUAAUCGUCCUUGAGAACUAAGGCAUGAACCUUUAUGCUGGUUAAUUGACAAUAGGGAUUUCACCAAAGGAAGAUACAAUCUCUUUUGGUACUACUUAGAUCAUCAGGGAUAUUCAAGUGUCUUGUACUCUGAUUUUCGUUAAUCAAGUACUUCUUGUUAUGAAGGAAACAUUAAAUUGAUCCCAAAACAUGAACAUGGGAAGUGACAUUGGCCUAAUGUACCCGUGAUGAUUAGAACAUGGGUCAGGUCCCAGUGGUGAGUCCAUGAAUGUCGC